CGGACGGGUGAGUAACGCGUAGGAACCUAUCGCACAGUGGGGGAUAACACGGGGAAACCGGUGCUAAUACCGCAUGUGGUCAGUGAUGAAGAAAGCGAGUAAUCGCGCUGUGUGAGGGGCCUGCGUCCGAUUAGCUUGUUGGUGGGGUAACGGCCUACCAAGGCGACGAUCGGUAGCUGGUCUGAGAGGAUGGUCAGCCACACUGGGACUGAGACACGGCCCAG
RNAcentral lists this ribosomal RNA (224 nucleotides) under uncultured bacterium. Its description in RNAcentral is "partial 16S ribosomal RNA". It matches the Rfam family "Bacterial small subunit ribosomal RNA", at positions 99 to 334 of the family's 1533-position model. The record is from RNAcentral.